Molecule: ribosomal RNA, 532 nt
Filed under: Colletotrichum siamense
Lineage: Eukaryota; Fungi; Ascomycota; Sordariomycetes; Glomerellales; Glomerellaceae
Description: eukaryotic LSU rRNA
Rfam family: 5.8S ribosomal RNA (bases 173-326)
Source: RNAcentral
CUGAGUUUACGCUCCACAACCCUUUGUGAACAUACCUAUAACUGUUGCUUCGGCGGGUAGGGUCUCCGCGACCCUCCCGGCCUCCCGCCUCCGGGCGGGUCGGCGCCCGCCGGAGGAUAACCAAACUCUGAUUUAACGACGUUUCUUCUGAGUGGUACAAGCAAAUAAUCAAAACUUUUAACAACGGAUCUCUUGGUUCUGGCAUCGAUGAAGAACGCAGCGAAAUGCGAUAAGUAAUGUGAAUUGCAGAAUUCAGUGAAUCAUCGAAUCUUUGAACGCACAUUGCGCCCGCCAGCAUCCUGGCGGGCAUGCCUGUUCGAGCGUCAUUUCAACCCUCAAGCUCUGCUUGGUGUUGGGGCCCUACAGCUGAUGUAGGCCCUCAAAGGUAGUGGCGGACCCUCCCGGAGCCUCCUUUGCGUAGUAACUUUACGUCUCGCACUGGGAUCCGGAGGGACUCUUGCCGUAAAACCCCCAAUUUUCCAAAGGUUGACCUCGGAUCAGGUAGGAAUACCCGCUGAACUUAAGCAUAUCA